GCGAGAGUAGCCAAGCUUGGCCAACGGCGCCAGACUUAAGAUCUGGUCUAUGAGUAGUUCAUGGGUUCGAAUCCCACCUCUCGCA
This 85-nucleotide transfer RNA is filed under the name Candidatus Methanorbis basalitermitum. RNAcentral describes it as "tRNA-Leu". It matches the Rfam family "tRNA". Rfam says of the family: Transfer RNA (tRNA) molecules are approximately 80 nucleotides in length. Their secondary structure includes four short double-helical elements and three loops (D, anti-codon, and T loops). Further hydrogen bonds mediate the characteristic L-shaped molecular structure. tRNAs have two regions of fundamental functional importance: the anti-codon, which is responsible for specific mRNA codon recognition, and the 3' end, to which the tRNAs corresponding amino acid is attached (by aminoacyl-tRNA synthetases). tRNAs cope with the degeneracy of the genetic code in two manners: having more than one tRNA (with a specific anti-codon) for a particular amino acid; and 'wobble' base-pairing, i.e. permitting non-standard base-pairing at the 3rd anti-codon position. The record is from RNAcentral. Lineage: Archaea; Methanobacteriati; Methanobacteriota; Methanomicrobia; Methanomicrobiales; Methanocorpusculaceae.